AAUCAACGCUGGUGGCGUGCCUAACACAUGCAAGUCGAACGCGAAAGCCCUUUCGGGGGUAAGUAGAGUGGCGUCCGGGUGAGUAACACGUAGGUAAUCUACCUUCGGGUGGGGAAUAACUCGCCGAAAGGCGAGCUAAUACCGCAUAAUGCAGCGGCACCUAAUGGUGAUUAGUUGUUAAAGCGGGGGAUCGUAAGACCUCGCGCCUGAAGAGGAGCCUGCGGCAGAUUAGCAGUUGGUGAGGUAAUGGCUCACCAAGGCUUCGAUCUGUAGCUGGUCUGAGAGGACGGCCAGCCACACUGGCACUGACACACGGGGCCAGACUCCUACGGGAGGCAGCAGUGGGGAAUUUUGGGCAAGUGGGCGCAAGCCUGACCCAGCAACGCCGCGUGAGGAGG
Molecule: ribosomal RNA, 398 nt
Filed under: uncultured bacterium
Lineage: Bacteria
Description: bacterial SSU rRNA
Rfam family: Bacterial small subunit ribosomal RNA
Source: RNAcentral